RNAcentral lists this ribosomal RNA (437 nucleotides) under uncultured bacterium. RNAcentral describes it as "bacterial SSU rRNA". It matches the Rfam family "Bacterial small subunit ribosomal RNA", at positions 340 to 772 of the family's 1533-position model. The record is from RNAcentral.
UACGGAAGGCAGCAGUGGGGAAUAUUGCACAAUGGGCGCAAGCCUGAUGCAGCCAUGCCGCGUGUAUGAAAAGGCCUUCGGGUUGUAAAGUACUUUCAGUCGUGAGGAAGGUGUUAAGGUUAAUAACCUUAGCAAUUGACGUUAGCGACAGAAGAAGCACCGGCUAACUCCGUGCCAGCAGCCGCGGUAAUACGGAGGGUGCGAGCGUUAAUCGGAAUUACUGGGCGUAAAGGGCACGCAGGCGGUUAAUUAAGUUGGAUGUGAAAUCCCCGGGCUUAACCUGGGAAUGGCAUUCAAGACUGGUUAGCUAGAGUCUUGUAGAGGGGGUAGAAUUCCAUGUGUAGCGGUGAAAUGCGUAGAGAUGUGGAGGAAUACCGGUGGCGAAGGCGGCCCCUGGACAAAGACUGACGCUCAUGUGCGAAAGCGUGGGGAGCAAA